GCAUAUCAAUAAGCGGAGGAAAAGAAAUCAACGAAGAUUGCCUCAGUAGCGGCGAGUGAAGCGGCAAUAGCUCAAGUUUAGAAUCUGUGAUCGUUUCGGUCACCGAAUUGUAAUCUAAAGGGGCUAACAAAAAGGGAUGAGGAAGCAUAAGUUCCUUGGAACAGGACAUCAUAGAGGGUGAAAAUCCCGUAUGUAGCUUCCGCUGAACUGAAUGUUGACCUUCUAAGAGUCGGGUUGUUUGGGAUUGCAGCCCUAAAUGGGAGAUAAACUUCUUCUAAAGCUAAAUAUCUAUGGGAAACCGAUAGCGAACAAGUACUGUGAAGGAAAGGUGAAAAGAACUUUGAAAAGAGGGUUAAAAGACUUGAAAUCGUUGAGAAGGAAGCAGUAAAAGUGGAUUUAUGUUAGCUAUGAAGCAAGCUAUGUGAGGACCAGCUCGUAGUGGUUAUGUACGUCAUUGGCUACCUGCUACGAUGUAAUGGCACUCUAUGGCGAUUUCAUAGUUAAAGGGCAAGACCAGGUCUUAUUUGCUGGAGUCAGUUGAGGGAAAGUCCAUCACUCUGUGGUGAAUCCCUUGACAAAACAGUAAUAUGGCCUGAGGAAAUUGGUCUUGUCACAACGGCUUUUACUGACCCGUCUUGAAACACGGACCA
RNAcentral lists this ribosomal RNA (650 nucleotides) under Zygoascus sp. enrichment culture clone ads-f6. RNAcentral describes it as "eukaryotic LSU rRNA". It matches the Rfam family "Eukaryotic large subunit ribosomal RNA", at positions 38 to 668 of the family's 3401-position model. Lineage: Eukaryota; Fungi; Ascomycota; Dipodascomycetes; Dipodascales; Trichomonascaceae. The record is from RNAcentral.